Molecule: ribosomal RNA, 484 nt
Filed under: uncultured bacterium
Lineage: Bacteria
Description: partial 16S ribosomal RNA
Rfam family: Bacterial small subunit ribosomal RNA
Source: RNAcentral
AAUGAACGCUGGCGGCAGGCCUAACACAUGCAAGUCGAGCGGAAGCAGGGAGCUUGCUCCUGGAUGGCGGGGGAGACGGGGGGGAAAUGCCUAUGGGUCUGCCUGAACGUGGGGGAUGGGGUCCGGAAACGGGAGCUAAUACCACAUCCGAAGAGUGGGAGAAAGUGGGGGAUCUUCGGAUCGAACACUAUUAGAGGAGCCUAGGUCGGAUUAGCUAGGUGGUGGGGUAAAGGGCUACCAAGGCGACGAUCCGUAACUGGUCUGAGAGGAUGAGCAGUCACACUGGAACUGAGACACGGUCCAGACUCCUACGGGAGGCAGCAGUGGGGAAUAUUGCACAAUGGGCGAAUGCCUGAUCCAGCCAUGCCGCGUGUAUGAAGAAGGUCUUCGGAUUGUAAAGCACUUUAAGUUGGGAGGAAGGGCAGUAAGUUAAUACCUUGCUGUAUUGACGUUACCAACAGAAUAAGCACCGGCUAACUUCGUG